Long non-coding RNA from Sander lucioperca (pikeperch), 307 nucleotides. RefSeq lists it as uncharacterized. The record is from RefSeq and is a predicted model, not a curated record. NCBI's taxonomy places the organism in Eukaryota, Metazoa, Chordata, Actinopteri, Perciformes, Percidae. The transcript has 3 exons.
CUCCUUCCAUCCACACACCACCACAACACCAGGCUCCUUCCAUCCACACAUCACCACCAUACCAGGCUCCUUCCAUCCACACACCACCACAACACCAGGCUCCUUCCAUCCACACACCACCACCAUACCAGGCUCCUUCCAUUCAGGAACCACCACAGCAGGGUCGAAAGCGACAAAAAAGAGCCAAAAAAAAUAAAGAUUGCCCUCACAACCAGCUUGACAUGUUCCCAGUCACUGAAAUAAUAAAGACAAGGAUCAGAAAGGGGAGGACGGAACACCUUUAUGACUGGCAGCCCUGCACUCUAUG